UUUGGGGAAGUAGAUAAAGAUAAACUGCUUAAUCUAUCAGGUCCGAAAGGAAGCAGUAGGAGUAGUGAUUUCUUGUAUGUGCUUCCCCUUGGUU
Molecule: signal recognition particle RNA, 94 nt
Filed under: Candidatus Babelota bacterium
Lineage: Bacteria
Description: signal recognition particle sRNA small type
Rfam family: Bacterial small signal recognition particle RNA
About the family: The signal recognition particle (SRP) is a universally conserved ribonucleoprotein involved in the co-translational targeting of proteins to membranes.
Source: RNAcentral